This 493-nucleotide ribosomal RNA is filed under the name uncultured bacterium. RNAcentral's name for it is "bacterial SSU rRNA". It matches the Rfam family "Bacterial small subunit ribosomal RNA", at positions 28 to 511 of the family's 1533-position model. The record is from RNAcentral.
GAUGAACGCUAGCGGCAGGCCUAACACAUGCAAGUCGAGGGGCAGCGGGGAGUAGCAAUACUUUGCCGGCGACCGGCGCACGGGUGCGUAACGCGUAUGUGACCUACCUAUAACAGGGGGAUAACCCAGAGAAAUUUGGACUAAUACCCCAUAUUAUUAUUGAGCUGCAUGGUUUGAUAAUGAAAGACGCGAGUUGGUUAUAGAUGGGCAUGCGUGACAUUAGCUAGUUGGUAAGGUAACGGCUUACCAAGGCGACGAUGUCUAGGGGAACUGAGAGGUUAAUCCCCCACACUGGUACUGAGACACGGACCAGACUCCUACGGGAGGCAGCAGUGAGGAAUAUUGGUCAAUGGUCGGAAGACUGAACCAGCCAUGCCGCGUGAAGGAAGAAUGUCCUAUGGAUUGUAAAACUUCUUUUGUAAGGGAGCAAUAAGUUCCAUGCGUGGGAUGAUGAGAGUACCUUACGAAUAAGCAUCGGCUAACUCCGUGCCAG